This 532-nucleotide ribosomal RNA is filed under the name uncultured bacterium. RNAcentral describes it as "bacterial SSU rRNA". It matches the Rfam family "Bacterial small subunit ribosomal RNA", at positions 537 to 1069 of the family's 1533-position model. The record is from RNAcentral.
AGCGUUGUCCGGAUUAUUGGGCGUAAAGCGCGCGCAGGCGGAUUGGUCAGUCUGUCUUAAAAGUUCGGGGCUUAACCCCGUGAUGGGAUGGAAACUGCCAAUCUAGAGUAUCGGAGAGGAAAGUGGAAUUCCUAGUGUAGCGGUGAAAUGCGUAGAUAUUAGGAAGAACACCAGUGGCGAAGGCGACUUUCUGGACGAAAACUGACGCUGAGGCGCGAAAGCCAGGGGAGCGAACGGGAUUAGAUACCCCGGUAGUCCUGGCCGUAAACGAUGGGUACUAGGCGUAGGAGGUAUCGACCCCUUCUGUGCCGGAGUUAACGCAAUAAGUACCCCGCCUGGGGAGUACGACCGCAAGGUUGAAACUCAAAGGAAUUGACGGGGGCCCGCACAAGCGGUGGAGUAUGUGGUUUAAUUCGACGCAACGCGAAGAACCUUACCAGGUCUUGACAUUGAUGGACAGAACUAGAGAUAGUUCCUCUUCUUCGGAAGCCAGAAAACAGGUGGUGCACGGUUGUCGUCAGCUCGUGUCGUG